Molecule: long non-coding RNA, 1325 nt
Filed under: Sus scrofa (pig)
Lineage: Eukaryota; Metazoa; Chordata; Mammalia; Artiodactyla; Suidae
Description: lncRNA (ENSSSCG00025069650.1)
Source: RNAcentral
ACCAUCCCAAAACUUAGUGUGUAAAACAACAACCAUUUUAUUAGGCUCGUGAGAUUCCAUGGGUCCAAAAUAGAGAAAGAGGAGUUCCCGUCGUGGCUCAGCGGAAACGAAUCUGACUAGGAACCAUGAGAUUGCAGGUUCGAUCCCUGGCUUUGCUCAGUGGGUUAAGGAUCCGGCAUUGCCAUGAAUUGUGGUGUAGGUUGCAGACGUGGCUCAGAUCCCGUGUUGCUGUGGCUGUGGCUUAGGCCGGCAGCAAUAGCUCUUACUCGACCUCUAGCUUGAGAACCUCCGUAUGCUGCGGUUGCAGCCCUAAAAAGACAAAAGACAAAAAAAAAAAAAAAAANNNNNNNNNAAAAAAAAAAAAAAAAGAAAGCACACGCACAGUAUCAUAAAACAGAUAAACGGAGUUCCCGUCGUGGCUCAGUGGUUAACGAAUCUGACUAGGAACCAUGAGGUUGUGGGUUCGAUCCCUGGCCUUGCUCAGCCCGCGGGUUAAGGAUCCGGCGUUGCCGUGAGCUGUGGCAUAGACGUGGCUCAGAUCCCGCGUUGCUGUGGCUCUGGCGUAGACUGGUGGCUACAGCUCCAAUUUGACCCCUAGCCUGGGAACCUCCAUAUGCGGCAGGAGUGGCCCAAGAAAAUGGCAAAAAGACAAAAAACAAAAACAAACAAACAAAAAAAAACCCCAGAUAAACAACAAGGAUUUACUGUAUAACACAGGGAACUAUAUUCAACAUCUUGUGAUAAACUAUAAUGGAAAAGAAUAAAAAAAAAGAAUAUAGGAGUUCCCCAGUAGCCUAGCAGUUAAAGGAUCUGGCAUCGUCACUGUUGUGGCUUGGUUCACUACUAUGGUGUGGUUUCAUUCCCUGACCUAGGAACCUCCUCAAGACAUGGGCACAGCCAAAAAAUAGAUAGAUAGAUAGAUAGAUAGAUAGAGAAUGUAUAACCGAAUCGCUUUGCUGUACACCUGCAACUAACACAAUACUGUAAAUCAACUAUAUUUUAAUAAUAAAAAAAAAAAGCUCAAGGAGUUCCCAUUGUGGCUCAGCGGGUUAAGAACCCAUCUAGUAUCCAUGAGGAUGCAGGUUCGAUCUCUGGCCUCAGUGGUUUAAGGACCUGGCGUUGCCACAAGCUGCAGUGUAAGUCACCGGUGAAGCUCGGAUCUAUGUUGCUGUGGCACAGGCUGGCAGCUGCAGCUCCGAUUCAAUCCCUAGCCUAGGGUCUUCCAUAUGCCCUAGGUGCAGUCCUAAAAAUAAAGAAAAAAAGCUCAAGAAGUGUGAACAGUAAUAACAAUCCCUGGUUCUUGUACAUUAACUGAGCAACUCCUA